UUGGCCUACGGGGGGCAGCAGUGAGGAAUAUUGGUCAAUGGGCGGGAGCCUGAACCAGCCAAGUCGCGUGAAGGAAGAAGGUACUUAGUAUUGUAAACUUCUUUUGUCGGGGAACAAAGGCGGAGACGCGUCUCCGGAUGAGUGUACCCGAAGAAAAAGCAUCGGCUAACUCCGUGCCAGCAGCCGCGGUAAUACGGAGGAUGCGAGCGUUAUCCGGAUUUAUUGGGUUUAAAGGGUGCGCAGGCGGGCUGUUAAGUCAGCUGUCAAAGCCAGGGGCUCAACCCCGGCCCGCCGUUGGAACUGGG
Molecule: ribosomal RNA, 305 nt
Filed under: uncultured bacterium
Lineage: Bacteria
Description: bacterial SSU rRNA
Rfam family: Bacterial small subunit ribosomal RNA
Source: RNAcentral